RNAcentral lists this ribosomal RNA (253 nucleotides) under uncultured bacterium. RNAcentral describes it as "partial 16S ribosomal RNA". It matches the Rfam family "Bacterial small subunit ribosomal RNA", at positions 524 to 776 of the family's 1533-position model. The record is from RNAcentral.
UACGUAGGGGGCUAGCGUUGUCCGGAUUUAUUGGGCGUAAAGGGCGCGUAGGCGGCCUUCUAAGUCGAACGUGAAAUCCCUGGGCUCAACCCAGGAACUGCGUCCGAUACUGGAAGGCUUGAAUCCGGGAGAGGGAUGCGGAAUUCCAGGUGUAGCGGUGAAAUGCGUAGAUAUCUGGAGGAACACCGGUGGCGAAGGCGGCAUCCUGGACCGGUAUUGACGCUGAGGCGCGAAAGCCAGGGGAGCAAACGGG